UUUUUAGCAUAAGUAUAUCCCGUGUCAUACAUGGGAUAUACUUAUGCUAAAA
RNAcentral lists this microRNA precursor (52 nucleotides) under Camelus bactrianus (Bactrian camel). Its description in RNAcentral is "mir-1302 microRNA precursor family". It matches the Rfam family "mir-1302 microRNA precursor family". The record is from Rfam by way of RNAcentral. Lineage: Eukaryota; Metazoa; Chordata; Mammalia; Artiodactyla; Camelidae. RNAcentral also lists the same sequence under 3 other names.